Oncorhynchus tshawytscha (Chinook salmon) is the source of this 909-nucleotide long non-coding RNA. RefSeq lists it as uncharacterized. Lineage: Eukaryota; Metazoa; Chordata; Actinopteri; Salmoniformes; Salmonidae. The record is from RefSeq and is a predicted model, not a curated record. The transcript is spliced from 4 exons.
CCUGACUGAAGAGAGAGACAGGCUUCAGAAUUUGCUUUGUGAAAGAACAUGUUGUUCAGAUGGAUGGAAGAAGUUUGAAUGCAGUUGUUACUUCAUCUCUACUGAGAAGAAAACCUGGGAGAAGAGCAGACAGGACUGUCUGGAGAGAGGAACAGACCUGGUGAUCAUAAACAGCAAAGAGGAACAGGAGUUUCUCUUCAACUUCAAGAAGAGAGUCUGGAUUGGUCUGACUGACAGAGAGACAGAGGAGACCUGGAAAUGGGUGGAUGGAACACCACUGACCACAGAGUACUGGUAUGACCCACAGCCUGAUAAUGCAGGUUCUACUGAUGGGGAGGACUGUGCUGAGAUACGUAAAGAUCAGAGUCCUCUAAAGGCAUGGAAUGACUUGUCAUGUGGCAGCAAACUGAACUGGAUUUGUGAGAAAGUGGUUUAACAUCACCAUACUGUAACACAUUCAUUCAUUCUCUCUCUCACACACUCUUUCUCUCUCUCUCUCUUUCUCUCUCUCUCUCUCUCACUCUUUAUUUCUCUCUCUCUCACACUCACUUCCAUUCUCUAGUGCAUAUCUUCCUGGUAUGAUCGUGUCCUGUCCAUCGUCACAAAUAGCAAGUGCCAGGCUGCACACACUGGACAGCUCUCAUAGAGAGAUAGUGGUAGACUAUGGAGAUGUCUGUGUCCACUGUUUAUAUCAAUGAAGAUGUUAGAGGAAUACAGUGUGUUUUAGGGGACCAGUUUCACAAUAGAGCCCAUCUAUUUUAAUGAAUAUACUAUAUAUUUGAACUACUUUUACUUAUGCUUCACUAUAAUCUUAAAGAAAAUAGUGUACGUUUAUACCAUAUAUUUUCCAUGACACCCAGAAGUGGUCAUUACAUUUUGAAUGCUUAGCAGGACAGGAAAAUUGUCAAA